GACGGAGGAUGCAAGUGUUAUCCGGAAUCACUGGGCGUAAAGCGCCUGUAGGUGGUUUAAUAAGUCAACUGUUAAAUCUUGAGGCUCAACCUCAAAAUCGCAGUCGAAACUAUUAGGCUAGAGUAUAGUAGGGGUAAAGGGAAUUUCCAGUGGAGCGGUGAAAUGCGUAGAGAUUGGAAAGAACACCGAUGGCGAAGGCACUUUACUGGGCCAUUACUGACACUGAGAGACGAAAGCUAGGGGAGCAAAUGGG
RNAcentral lists this ribosomal RNA (253 nucleotides) under uncultured bacterium. Its description in RNAcentral is "partial 16S ribosomal RNA". It matches the Rfam family "Bacterial small subunit ribosomal RNA", at positions 524 to 776 of the family's 1533-position model. The record is from RNAcentral.